UGCUUAUCAAGAAAGGUGGAGGGAAUGGCCCUGUGAAACCUUAGCAACCAGCCUGAAUUGGAUAUGGUGCUAAUUCCAUCCCGAAGUAAUUUGGGUAAGUUAAGUC
This 106-nucleotide non-coding RNA is filed under the name Pedobacter sp. RNAcentral describes it as "SAM-I sequence". It matches the Rfam family "SAM riboswitch aptamer (S box leader)". From Rfam's summary of the family: The SAM riboswitch is found upstream of a number of genes which code for proteins involved in methionine or cysteine biosynthesis in Gram-positive bacteria. The SAM riboswitch acts at the level of transcription termination control. The record is from RNAcentral. Lineage: Bacteria; Pseudomonadati; Bacteroidota; Sphingobacteriia; Sphingobacteriales; Sphingobacteriaceae.